This 1028-nucleotide long non-coding RNA is filed under the name Sparus aurata (gilthead seabream). RNAcentral's name for it is "lncRNA (ENSSAUG00010013836.1)". The record is from RNAcentral. Lineage: Eukaryota; Metazoa; Chordata; Actinopteri; Spariformes; Sparidae.
AUUCUUUGGCAGUUUCCUCCUCUAAAAAUGUCAGGAUUCUCAGCUGAAGACUUGAUGAAUCCAGCGUCCGUCUCCACUCGCAGGAACUUCACUUUCCCAAACUUGGCGCGAUCAGCCGGGUCGUACCGGCACGCGGGCCCUCGGGGCUCAGGAGGAGAUAAUGCAGGCAGUGUGUCGGUGUGUGUGUAGCCACUGUAUGCAUGUGUGUGUGUGAGCGUUGUGUCAACACUGAGCGGUAUGCUGGGAAUGUUUACACAGAUACGCCGCAGCUCGUGUGGUAAUUCAGAGGAGAGAGCCCACACUUAUAAACCUGCCGACCCUCCGGCAACGGGACGGACUGUCAGGGAGAGAUACAGAUCAGGAAUAUAAAGACAACAACACUUGAUGGGAGAUGGUGUCAGAAACUUUGGCAUCAUUCAUCAAAACUUCCCUCAGUGUGUUGCCAGCGAAGGAAAGUCUGCCAACAUCCUCAGAGCUCUGUAAACGGGUCUGCUGCUUCUUCACUGGGCGUCUUGUUUUCAUGGUGCUGCUCUGAGUUGACUGUCGAGCAGAUUCUGAUGAUCAAACCCGGCAGUUCUCUGAUGUUCACGUUGUGUUUGCAUGUUCAGCUGCGUGAAGUCCAACAGAACCUCGGCUGCUGCUUCGAUUCUUCAGGAGCGCUCGGUGGAUCGAGUUAAUCCAGCUGCAGCUCGAAUGUGAAGCAGCUGAUCGGUUCACAGAGGAGACCAGGAACUUUACUGAUGGAGACCAGAAAAUAUUAAAUAAUACGAGACGCCGUAUUAUUAGGCUCACAACAACAGCACAUUCACACUCAGUUUCAGAGUAAAAUAACCAAGUCGUGUAAGUCAUUAAGCAUCUACAUCUACAGCAUCCAUAGACUCUGGUGCUGGUCCGGAUGAAGGGACGGGUCCAGGAUGUUUGGCAGGUAUCUGUGAGUGCAGAUUAAUGAGGCUUUCUUAUUCUGUUGUCCUAAAGAACAUUUUGUUUGCAUGAAUUCAUUGAUUAGGAAGAUAAAGAACUGUAUUAAU